Molecule: long non-coding RNA, 555 nt
Filed under: Linum usitatissimum (flax)
Lineage: Eukaryota; Viridiplantae; Streptophyta; Magnoliopsida; Malpighiales; Linaceae
Description: long non-coding RNA (LUSI_LNC005319)
Source: RNAcentral
GUCGACUGAUCAUAACAGGUAUUUGAUUGGAGACGAUGAGCACUGUUGGAGCGACAACGGCGUCUCAAAUAUCGAAGGCGGUUGCUAUGCUAAAUGCAUUGAUCUAUCUGCCGAGAAGGAACCUGAUAUCUUCAAUGCCAUCAAAUUCGGGACUGGUAAUAUGAACGCAUUUCUUACAAGUAGUUUGCUUGCGAGCUAAUGAACGGAAUUUUGACUCAAAAUGGCUUCGUCAUAUGUGAUAGUGUUGGAGAAUGUCGUGUUCGAUGAGCAUUCAAGAGAAGUGGACUACACAGACAAAUCCGUGACAGGUAAACAAUGGAGCUUAGAUUGAUAUAUUUCGGUUAAUAUUUGAUUUAGCCCUCUCCUCCUGUGUUUGAUUGUGUUUCCGUUUGGCAGAGAACACAACGGUACAGAGGAUGGCAUCAAGGAACCUCAGGCAACCUUUUCAGCCUGCUUUGGUGCUGCCUUCAUAAUGAUGCAUCCCACUAGGUAUGCAGCAAUGCUGGCUGAGAAGAUGGAGAAGCAUGGAGCUACCGGAUGGCUAGUUAACACCGG